This 492-nucleotide ribosomal RNA is filed under the name uncultured bacterium. RNAcentral describes it as "partial 16S ribosomal RNA". It matches the Rfam family "Bacterial small subunit ribosomal RNA", at positions 29 to 507 of the family's 1533-position model. The record is from RNAcentral.
AGUGAACGCUGGCGGUAGGCCUAACACAUGCCAGUCGAACGGCAGCACAGUAAGAGCUUGCUCUUACGGGUGGCGAGUGGCGGGCGGGUGAGGAAUACAUCGGAAUCUACUUUUUCGUGGGGGAUAACGUAGGGAAACUUACGCUAAUACCGCAUACGACCUACGGGUGAAAGCAGGGGAUCUUCGGACCUUGCGCGAUUGAAUGAGCCGAUGUCGGAUUAGCUAGUUGGCGGGGUAAAGGCCCACCAAGGCGACGAUCCGUAGCUGGUCUGAGAGGAUGAUCAGCCACACUGGAACUGAGACACGGUCCAGACUCCUACGGGAGGCAGCAGUGGGGAAUAUUGGACAAUGGGCGCAAGCCUGAUCCAGCCAUACCGCGUGGGUGAAGAAGGCCUUCGGGUUGUAAAGCCCUUUUGUUGGGAAAGAAAAGCAGCAGGUUAAUACCCCGCUGUUCUGACGGUACCCAAAGAAUAAGCACCGGCUAACUUCGUG